Molecule: ribosomal RNA, 527 nt
Filed under: Microporopterus cf. setosus MB-2014
Lineage: Eukaryota; Metazoa; Arthropoda; Insecta; Coleoptera; Curculionidae
Description: partial 16S ribosomal RNA
Source: RNAcentral
UCAUGUAAAAUUUUAAAGGUCGAACAGACCUAAUUUAUUAGCUUCUACACCAAUAAUUUCUUUUAAUCCAACAUCGAGGUCGCAAUCUUUUUUUUUAAUUUGAACUCUAAAAAAAAAUUACGCUGUUAUCCCUAAGGUAAUUUUCUCUUAUAAUCUUUAAUAAAGGAUCAAAUAUUCAUAAAUAAAUGUAAUAAUAAAAAAAAAAGUUAAGUUAAUUUUUCAAUCACCCCAAUCAAAUAAUUAAUUUUACAAACUAAAAAAUACUAAAAUUUCACUUACAAAAUUAAUUAUAAAACUCUAUAGGGUCUUCUCGUCUUCUAUAAAUAUUUAAGCUUUUUUACUUAAAAAUAAAAUUCUAAUUAAUUUARAUAGAGACAGCUAUUUUUUCAUCAAACCUUUCAUACAAGCUUUCAAUUAAAAAACUAAUGAUUAUGCUACCUUUGCACGGUCAAAAUACCGCGGCCAUUAAAUAAACUAUCAUUGGGCAGGUCARACCUAAAAUUAUUAACAAWAGGCCAKGUUUUUAA